This 253-nucleotide ribosomal RNA is filed under the name uncultured bacterium. Its description in RNAcentral is "partial 16S ribosomal RNA". It matches the Rfam family "Bacterial small subunit ribosomal RNA", at positions 524 to 776 of the family's 1533-position model. The record is from RNAcentral.
UACGUAGGGUGCGAGCGUUAAUCGGAAUUACUGGGCGUAAAGUGUGCGCAGGCGGCCGAGCAAGUCGAGUGUGAAAGCCCCGAGCUUAACUUGGGAACUGCGCUCGAAACUACUUGGCUAGAGUGUGGCAGAGGGAGGUGGAAUUCCACGUGUAGUGGUGGAAUGCGUAGAGAUCCGGAGGAACACCAGCGGCGAAGGCGGCAUCCUGGACUGGUCCUGACACUCAUGAGCGAAAGCGUGGGGAGCGAUCCGG